This 435-nucleotide ribosomal RNA is filed under the name uncultured bacterium. RNAcentral describes it as "bacterial SSU rRNA". It matches the Rfam family "Bacterial small subunit ribosomal RNA", at positions 355 to 786 of the family's 1533-position model. The record is from RNAcentral.
UGAGGAAUAUUGGUCAAUGGGCGGAAGCCUGAACCAGCCAAGUCGCGUGAGGGAAGACGGUCCUAUGGAUUGUAAACCUCUUUUGCAGGGGAGCAAGGCCUGUACGAGUAACAGGUUGGAGAGUACCCUGAGAAAAACGCAAUCGGCUAACUCCGUGCCAGCAGCCGCGGUAAUACGGAGGAUGCGAGCGUUAUCCGGAUUUAUUGGGUUUAAAGGGUGCGUAGCGGGCUGGUAAGUCAGCGGUAAAAUGCGGUGCUCAACGCCGUAAGUGCCGUUGGAACUGCCGGAUCUUGAGUGAGCGAGAAGUAUGCGGAAUGCGUGGUGUAGCGGUGAAAUGCAUAGAUAUCACGCAGAACUCCGAUUGCGAAGGCAGCAUACCGGCGCUCAACUGACGCUGAGGCACGAAAGCGUGGGGAUCGAACAGGAUUAGAUACC